RNAcentral lists this ribosomal RNA (459 nucleotides) under Mesodon thyroidus. RNAcentral describes it as "partial 16S ribosomal RNA". It matches the Rfam family "Archaeal large subunit ribosomal RNA", at positions 1887 to 2701 of the family's 2987-position model. The record is from RNAcentral. Lineage: Eukaryota; Metazoa; Mollusca; Gastropoda; Stylommatophora; Polygyridae.
UCGCCUGUUUAUCAAAAACAUAACUAUAAGUAGGUAUGCUAUAGCAAUUUCUGCUCCAUGAGAUAUUAAAUAGCCGCAGUACCCUGACUGUGCAAAGGUAGCAUAAUCAAUUGGCUUAUAAUUGAAGUCUAGAAUGAAUGAAUACAUUGGUGGUUACUGUUUCUGGGAGGUAUUAAGAAAUUACUAAAAAAGUGCAAAUGCUUUUGAUAUAAUAUUAGACGAGAAGACCCUGGAAAUUUAUUUUAAAGUUUUGUUGGGGCGACAGAAUAACAGUAAACUUAUUUUAUGGAACGAAAAAUUUCUUAAGAAGARAAAAUUACUCCAGGGAUAACAGCAUAAUUUACUUUAAGUUUGUGACCUCGAUGUYGGACUAGGGUGGAUUAUUCGGUUUAGAAGAUAGAUUUCCAGGUUCUGUUCGAACUGUAAUUCCCUACNUGAUCUGANUUCAGACCGGACCGG